Methanomassiliicoccales archaeon RumEn M1 is the source of this 84-nucleotide transfer RNA. It matches the Rfam family "tRNA". From Rfam's summary of the family: Transfer RNA (tRNA) molecules are approximately 80 nucleotides in length. The record is from Rfam. Lineage: Archaea; Methanobacteriati; Thermoplasmatota; Thermoplasmata; Methanomassiliicoccales.
GCGGAGGUAGCCCAGCCUGGCAAGGCGCAGGAUUGCUAAUCCUGUGUCCGCGAGGACUCGGGGGUUCAAAUCCCCCCCUUCGCA